Molecule: long non-coding RNA, 2328 nt
Filed under: Homo sapiens (human)
Lineage: Eukaryota; Metazoa; Chordata; Mammalia; Primates; Hominidae
Description: family with sequence similarity 157 member C
Source: RNAcentral
GGCACUUCUUCAUGCUGCCUUGCGAAGAAGCUGGCUUGCUUCCUCUUUGUCUUCCGCCAUGAUUGUAGAUUUCCUGAGGCCUCCCAAGCUGUGCUGAACUACCAAACCAAUGCAGACCAAACCAAUGCAGAACUCCUAUGUGCUGAUGGUGGUCUUACAUUUCCCUAAGUUUCUGCCGACUAAACUGUGCACACGUUCUCAGGACCUCCUGAAGCUGCGUCACAGGCACUAAUCAAAGAACACAACCAAGAGUUUGGCCUUUUCUUCAGCACUGGGAAUUGUGAUCCAAAGCUUUUCCUGAUGAAGCACAAAGUUGGAGAAAAAAAACGCAAACUAAACAACAACAAUGAAACAGAACAGAGUGAAUCUGCUGUAGCUCAAGAGAGGACGUAGCUGCCCCCACUCCGCAUCCCCGGGCUCGGGUUUGCCUUGCUGACCUCUGCUGCCACCUGGUGCCGCACAGAGAAACUGAGGAGAAACCACAUCAGUCUCCUUCAGCCUCAGCUUCACAUCUGUGGGUCAAGUAACCCUUUCAGAAGCUGAAUAAUGUGGGAAAGCUUUCCUCUCAGGAAAAUGCACACAUCCAACUUUGAGAAGAUGCCCUUGGGGGCGCUUCAAGGAUUCUAGAUAAUAACCCCCUUUCCCGAACAUCCAAGAACCUAAGAUUUUUUUUUUUUUUUUGAGAAAGUCUCGCUCUCUCUCCCAGUCUGGAGUGCAGUGGCGUGAUCUUGGCUCACUGCCAGCUCCACCUCCCAGGUUCACGCCAUUCUCCUGCUUCAGCCUCCCUAGUAGCUGGGGCUACAGGCACCUGCCACCAAACCCGGCUAAUUUUUUUGUAUUUUUAGUAGAGACGGGGUUUCACCGUGUUAGCCAGGAUCGUCUUGAUCUCCUGACCUUGUGAUCCACCCGCCUCGGCCUCCCAAAUUGCUGGGAUUACAGAUGUGAGCCACCGCACCUGGUCCAAGAGCCCAAGUUUUAGAUCUAGAGUGAUGUCAGCAUGACAUUGAUUUCCUGAGGCCCAGGGGCGAAGGAGCUGAGGACAGCAGAGGGGUGAAGGAACUCAGCUACAGACAGCAGCAGCUGAUGCACAGGCCUCCCAGCGCCUGAAGUCACCCGGAAUUGGGAAGUGCUCAGAAGCUUACAAAGCUGCCUCGAGGUGGGAACAUGACAUAAAUCCAAGAGCAGAUCCCUGAUCCUAUAAAAAUGUACUAGAUGCAGUGGGGGCAUUUUAAAUGAGCAGAGAAGGACAGACAGAUAAACAGAAGGACAAACAGUAUUGGGAUUGGGAUAAAUGCUCAGCUUUUGCCCAAAUCUUAGUGACUUAAGCAUCACUUAUUUGCUCACGAUUCUGUGGCUGGACCAUUUGGUUUGGCUCACAGGGCAGGGACUGUGCUGGUCUUACCUGAGCAGACCUGCAUGUCUGCGGUCAACUGGGUUGGCAGAGACAGAGUGACUGUCUUCCUCCAGGAAGCAGCAGGUUAACUGGUUGGCAGAGACAGAGGGACAGAGGGACUGUCUUCCUCCAGGAAGCAGCAGGUUAACUGGUUGGCAGAGACAGAGGGACUGAGGGAUUGUCUUCCUCCAGGAAGCAGCAGGUUAACUGGUUGGCAGAGACAGAGGGACAGAGGGACUGUCUUCCUCCAGGAAGCAGCAGGUUAACUGGUUGGCAGAGACAGAGGGACUGAGGGACUGUCUUCCUCCAGGAAGCAGCAGGUUAACUGGUUGGCAGAGACAGAGGGACAGAGGGACUGUCUUCCUCCAGGAAGCAGCAGGUUAACUGGUUGGCAGAGACAGAGGGACUGAGGGACUGUCUUCCUCCAGGAAGCAGCAGGUUAACUGGUUGGUAGAGACAGAGGGACUGAGGGACUGUCUCCCCCCAGGAAGCAGCAGGUUGGCUCUGUUUCCUUCGUGGGGCAGCUGGUCUCCAGGGCAGCAAGAGAGACCAAGCCCCAGUGCACAUUCUACAGCCUCUGUGCACAUCAGACUUGUUAAUAUCCCAUUGGCCAGUGUAAGUCACAUGGCCAAGCCCAGAUUAAGGAGUGGAAAGAUGGAGGCUAUCUCCUCCUGGGAGAGGAGGCCAAGGAGGUGGGAGUAUUAUGUGGCCACUUAUGUUUGCAAUCUACCAUAAUUAGCACUUUGAGAAAAGAAUUAACUGAGAAACUUGCUUCAAAUAGGGCAUUCAGUAAAAUGAAGCCCCAAUUGAAGUAAAAUGCAUAUAUAAAAAAUGAAACUGUGACCGAUUUUAAGGACAGUAUUGGCAAAUAUUUCUGUGCUCUUGGAGGAGAAGACCCUUAUUGGCAUGACAUGUCAGAAACCACAAUGAAAGAA